Molecule: ribosomal RNA, 492 nt
Filed under: uncultured bacterium
Lineage: Bacteria
Description: partial 16S ribosomal RNA
Rfam family: Bacterial small subunit ribosomal RNA
Source: RNAcentral
AGUGAACGCUGGCGGUAGGCCUAACACAUGCAAGUCGAACGGCAGCACAGUAAGAGCUUGCUCUUACGGGUGGCGAGUGGCGGACGGGUGAGGAAUACAUCGGAAUCUACUUUUUCGUGGGGGAUAACGUAGGGAAACUUACGCUAAUACCGCAUACGACCUACGGGUGAAAGCAGUGGAUCUUCGGACCUUGCGCGAUUGAAUGAGCCGAUGUCGGAUUAGCUAGUUGGCGGGGUAAAGGCCCACCAAGGCGACGAUCCGUAGCUGGUCUGAGAGGAUGAUCAGACACACUGGAACUGAGACACGGUCCAGACUCCUACGGGAGGCAGCAGUGGGGAAUAUUGGACAAUGGGCGCAAGCCUGAUCCAGCAAUACCGCGUGGGUGAAGAAGGCCUUCGGGUUGUAAAGCCCUUUUGUUGGGAAAGAAAAGCAGCAGGUUAAUACCCCGCUGUUCUGACGGUACCCAAAGAAUAAGCACCGGCUAACUUCGUG